This 301-nucleotide ribosomal RNA is filed under the name uncultured bacterium. RNAcentral's name for it is "partial 16S ribosomal RNA". It matches the Rfam family "Archaeal small subunit ribosomal RNA", at positions 459 to 759 of the family's 1478-position model. The record is from RNAcentral.
CAGCCGCCGCGGGAAUACCAGCAGCCCAAGUGGUGGUCGCGAUUAUUGGGCCUAAAGCGCUCGUAGCCGGGCCGGUAAGUCCCUUGAGAAAUCGGACGGCCUAACCGUUCGGCGUGCAAGGGAUACUGUCGGUCUUGAGGCCGGGAGACGUCCGAGGUACUCCGGGGGUAGCGGUGAAAUGUUCUGAUCCUCGGGGGACCACCGGUGGCGAAGGCGUUCGACGAGAACGGGCCUGACGGUGAGGGGCGAAGGCUAGGGGAGCAAACGGGAUUAGAUACCCCGGUAGUCCCUGUCUCUUAUU